This 133-nucleotide ribosomal RNA is filed under the name Danio rerio (zebrafish). Lineage: Eukaryota; Metazoa; Chordata; Actinopteri; Cypriniformes; Danionidae. The record is from RNAcentral.
UGCAGCAUCCACAUUUACGGUUGUCAUCACCUAGAGUUGAACUUAACACGGUUACUCACUGAAGCUAAGUAGGGCUGAGCCUGGUCAGUACCUGGAUGGGAGACCACUAGGGAACAGUAGGUUGCUGUUGGAA